This 426-nucleotide ribosomal RNA is filed under the name Triticum aestivum (bread wheat). Its description in RNAcentral is "partial small subunit ribosomal RNA". Lineage: Eukaryota; Viridiplantae; Streptophyta; Magnoliopsida; Poales; Poaceae. The record is from RNAcentral.
AUGAAUGGACCCUGGGUGGUCAUUGGUGAUUUUAAUGAAAUCUUAUACUCCCAUGAGAAAGAAGGAGGUGCUCCAAGACCAACACAAAUGAUGCAAAACUUCAGAGAUACGCUGGUGGAUUGCCAGCUAGAUGACAUGGGAUAUAAGGGCGAAAUGUUUACAUGGCGGCGGAGGAGACUAAGAGAAAGAUUGGACAGAGGUGUUUGUAACGGAGCUUUCCAUGCACUAUUCCCAGAUGCAACUAUUCCCAGUGCAUGUCAAUCGGUGGAACCUGUCUCACGUAAGAGUACGUGUAAGGUCGGUCCGGGCCGCUUCAUCCCACAAUACCGUCGAAACAAGAUUGGACUAGUAACGGUAAGCAUAUUGAACAACAUCAACGCCCACAACUACUUUGUGUUCUACUCGUGCAAAGAAUCUACGCAAUAG